This is a long non-coding RNA of Rosa chinensis, 376 nucleotides long. RefSeq lists it as uncharacterized. The transcript is spliced from 3 exons. The record is from RefSeq and is a predicted model, not a curated record. Lineage: Eukaryota; Viridiplantae; Streptophyta; Magnoliopsida; Rosales; Rosaceae.
AUUACUUCUUGGUUUCUAGUUAAGGGAUUGCAGCGAGUGAAGGAAGGGAGAAAGGAAGACUCAAACAAAUAAAAAUUUCAAUGAUGAAUUGUAACAAAAAUUGUUCCCUUUCUCUUUCUGCCCUAGGGGACAUGUAGGAGAAACAUAAAGGAGAGCUUUCUAAUUCUCCGACAUGUGAUUCCUGGCUUGGUAAUCGGUUCAUCAUUCGCAAGGGUAACGAGAAGUCUGGACUGUUCAUUCCUAAGAGAAUGUAUUGAGCAUAAGAAAAGAGAAGAAUAGAAAGACAUGCUGCUCAAAUGGCUGCAGCUACUUACAUGACAUAGUGAAAAUAUAGAUUGUCUGUGCAGGUUUAGAUGGUAGUGUUAAGUGUAGCAAC